GGGUACGAUCAUACCAGCAGUAAUGCACCGGAUCCAAUUAGAACUCCGCAGUCAAGCGUGCCGGGGCGAGUGUAGUACUAGGAUGGGUGACCUCCUGAGAAGUCCUCGUGUUGCACCCC
Molecule: non-coding RNA, 119 nt
Organism: Gossypium raimondii (Peruvian cotton)
Lineage: Eukaryota; Viridiplantae; Streptophyta; Magnoliopsida; Malvales; Malvaceae
Source: Rfam